RNAcentral lists this ribosomal RNA (253 nucleotides) under uncultured bacterium. Its description in RNAcentral is "partial 16S ribosomal RNA". It matches the Rfam family "Bacterial small subunit ribosomal RNA", at positions 524 to 776 of the family's 1533-position model. The record is from RNAcentral.
UACAGAGGUCCCGAGCGUUGUUCGGAUUCAUUGGGCGUAAAGGGUGCGUAGGCGGCUUCCUAAGUUUGAUGUGAAAUCCUGGGGCUCAACCCUGGAACUGCAUUGAAUACUGGGAGGCUAGAGUACUGGAGAGGAAACUGGAAUUUACGGUGUAGCAGUGAAAUGCGUAGAGAUCGUAAGGAAGACCAGUGGCGAAGGCGGGUCUCUGGACAGUUCCUGACACUGAGGCACGAAGGCCAGGGGAGCAAACGGG